AACGAACGCUGGCGGCAUGCCUAACACAUGCAAGUCGAACGAGACCUUCGGGUCUAGUGGCGCACGGGUGCGUAACGCGUGGGAACCUGCCCUUAGGUUCGGAAUAACUCCCCGAAAGGGGUGCUAAUACCGGAUAAUGUCUUCGGACCAAAGAUUUAUCGCCUUUGGAUGGGCCCGCGUUGGAUUAGCUAGUUGGUAGGGUAAAAGCCUACCAAGGCGACGAUCCAUAGCUGGUCUGAGAGGAUGAUUAGCCACACUGGGACUGAGACACGGCCCAGACUCCUACGGGAGGCAGCAGUGGGGAAUAUUGGACAAUGGGCGAAAGCCUGAUCCAGCAAUGCCGCGUGAGUGAUGAAGGCCUUAGGGUUGUAAAGCUCUUUUACCCGGGAUGAUAAUGACAGUACCGGGACAAUAAGCUCCGGCUAACUCCGUG
This 433-nucleotide ribosomal RNA is filed under the name uncultured bacterium. RNAcentral describes it as "partial 16S ribosomal RNA". It matches the Rfam family "Bacterial small subunit ribosomal RNA", at positions 29 to 507 of the family's 1533-position model. The record is from RNAcentral.